AUACAGAGGGUGCAAGCGUUAUUCGGAAUCACUGGGCGUGAAGGACGCGUAGGCGGGUUGGCAAGUCAGAUGUGAAAUCCUACAGCUUAACUGUAGAACUGCAUUUGAAACUGCUAACCUAGAGUAUGGGAGGGGGAGAUGGAAUUAGUGGUGUAGGGGUAAAAUCCGUAGAUAUCACUAGGAAUACCGAAAGCGAAGGCGAUCUCCUGGAACAUAACUGACGCUAAGGCGUGAAAGCGUGGGGAGCAAACAGGAUUAGAAACCCUAGUAGUCC
RNAcentral lists this ribosomal RNA (274 nucleotides) under uncultured bacterium. RNAcentral's name for it is "partial 16S ribosomal RNA". It matches the Rfam family "Bacterial small subunit ribosomal RNA", at positions 523 to 796 of the family's 1533-position model. The record is from RNAcentral.